AUUGAACGCUGGCGGCAGGCCUAAUACAUGCAAGUCGAGCGAGCGGCGGACGGGUGAGUAAUGUCUGGGAAACUGCCUGCUGGGGGGGGAUAACUACUGGAAACGGUUGCUAAUACCGCCUACUAUCAGAUGUGCCCAGAUGGGAUUGGCUGGUGGGUGGGGUAACGGCGCACCUGGGCGACGAUCCCUAGCUGGUCUGAGAGGAUGACCAGCCCCACUGGAACUGAGACACGGUCCAGACUCCUACGGUAGGCAGCAGAGGGGAAUAUUGCACAAUGGGCGCAAGCCGAAUGCAGCCAUGCCGCGUGUGUGAAGAAGGCCUUCGGGUUGUAAAGCACUUUCAGCGGGGAGGCGUUACCCGCAGAAAAAGCACCGGCUAACUCCGUGCCAGCAGCCGCGGUAAUAC
This 406-nucleotide ribosomal RNA is filed under the name uncultured bacterium. RNAcentral describes it as "partial 16S ribosomal RNA". It matches the Rfam family "Bacterial small subunit ribosomal RNA", at positions 30 to 526 of the family's 1533-position model. The record is from RNAcentral.